Long non-coding RNA from Dermatophagoides pteronyssinus (European house dust mite), 370 nucleotides. Lineage: Eukaryota; Metazoa; Arthropoda; Arachnida; Sarcoptiformes; Pyroglyphidae. The record is from RefSeq and is a predicted model, not a curated record.
AAAAUUGUAUCGAAUUAGAUUAAUUCAACAAGCAAAAAAAAUCUUCAAAUUAUCCAGAACAAAUUCUACAAUGUUUAAAAUAGACAACAACAACAACAAAUAUAUUUACCACACGCACGAACAUGUAAGAUUUGAAAGAAAAAUUUUCUUCCGAAGGAAGUAUUAUCAUAAAAAAAGUGGGAAAAGAUCAUUUUUAAGUUAUUUAAAAAAAAACAAAAAAAUCCAAUCAAAAUUUUCUUCUUCGUGAAUCUGGGCAAAGUUGACCAUCAUCGUUUUAUGAUUUUCAACGAUGUUGAAAACAAAUCCCACAAUCUUUCUGUCGUGUGUGUGUGUGUGUGAGUUUGCGAUCAACAUGCAUGAAGACCGAGAC